CGGGGGCCCGCACAAGCGGUGGAGCAUGUGGUAUAAUUAGAAGCAACGCGCAGAACCUUCCCAUCCCUUGACAUCCUGUGUUACCUCUAGAGAUAGGGGGUCCAUUUCGGUGGCGCAGAGACAGGUGCUGCAUGGCUGUCGUCAGCUCGUGUCGUGAGAUGUUGGGUUAAGUCCCGCAACGAGCGCAACCCUCGCCCUUAGUUGCCAGCAUUUGGUUGGGCACUUUAAGGGGACUGCCGGUGAUAAGCCGAGAGGAGUAGGGGGAUGACCUCAAGUCCUCAUUGCCCUUGCCCGCCGGGAUCCACACGUUCCACAAGGAGGUGAUCCAGCCGCAGGAAGGAAUAACAGCC
RNAcentral lists this ribosomal RNA (350 nucleotides) under Martinezella tropici. Its description in RNAcentral is "bacterial SSU rRNA". It matches the Rfam family "Bacterial small subunit ribosomal RNA", at positions 914 to 1267 of the family's 1533-position model. The record is from RNAcentral. Lineage: Bacteria; Pseudomonadati; Pseudomonadota; Alphaproteobacteria; Hyphomicrobiales; Rhizobiaceae.